UCGAACGCGAAAGUCCCCUUCGGGGGGCAAGUAGAGUGGCGCACGGGUGAGUAACACGUAGGUAAUCUACCUUUGGAUGGGGAAUAACAACCGGAAACGGUUGCUAAUACCGCAUAAUGCAGCGGCACCUAAUGGUGACAGUUGUUAAAGCGGGGGAUCGAAAGACCUCGCGUCUAAAGAGGAGCCUGCGGCGGAUUAGCUAGUUGGUAAGGUAAUGGCUUACCAAGGCUACGAUCCGUAACCGGCCUGAGAGGGCGGUCGGUCACACUGACACUGACAUACGGGUCAGACUCCUACGGGAGGCAGCAGUCGGGAAUUUUGGGCAAUGGGCGAAAGCCUGACCCAGCAACGCCGCGUGAAGGAUGAAAUCCCUCGGGAUGUAAACUUCGCAAGAACGGGAAGAAUAAGUAGGGGACAAUACCCCCUAUGAUGACGGUACCGUUUGUAAGCUCCGGCUAACUCCGUGCCAGCAGCCGCGGUAAUACGGGGGGAGCAAGCGUUGUUCGGAUUUACUGGGCGUAAAGGGCGCGUAGGCGGCCAGCACAAGUCAGUUGUGAAAUCUCCGAGCUUAACUCGGAAAGGUCAACUGAUACUGUGCGGCUAGAGUGCGGAAGGGGCAACUGGAAUUCUUGGUGUAGCGGUGAAAUGCGUAGAUAUCAAGAGGAACACCUGCGGCGAAGGCGGGUUGCUGGGCCGACACUGACGCUGAGGCGCGAAAGCCAGGGGAGCGAACGGGA
This 737-nucleotide ribosomal RNA is filed under the name uncultured bacterium. RNAcentral's name for it is "bacterial SSU rRNA". It matches the Rfam family "Bacterial small subunit ribosomal RNA", at positions 62 to 777 of the family's 1533-position model. The record is from RNAcentral.